Non-coding RNA from Drosophila virilis, 1751 nucleotides. The record is from RefSeq and is a predicted model, not a curated record. Lineage: Eukaryota; Metazoa; Arthropoda; Insecta; Diptera; Drosophilidae.
UCCCAAUUCAGAGCCCUUCCACUUAAGUGUCAUUUUUUCUUCUUUUUUUCUAAUUUGCACAAAAAUGUUUAAAAAAAAAAAUCAACAUCAAAUUACGUGGGCAACUUUAAAGCACACUCAAGUUUUCUAAUGUGAGCUAAGUUUGUAAGAAAAUUUCGAAAGUAUCAUUCAUUUUAUCUCGAUUGAAUGUGAGUGUUGUAAAACAAUUCACAUUAAAAAAAAAAAAAAAAAACAGUGUCAUAUCUUUUGAGCAACCACUGUUACAGUAAGAAAUCUGUUUAUCGAAUAUCGUCUGUCAACUGGAAUUUCCGUCUAAUGGGGGCGGCACUCCGGGUGAGAUGGGGGAAGCAGCCGUUAGGAGAUGUACAUAUCCAUGAGUGUGUGUAAUUCGAAAAUUUCUCAACAUUUCCGAUUCAUUUGGCAUUCAACAAAUGUGCCAAGAAAUUGUGAUAUAUUUCAACAGCUUAAAGAAGAAGAGGAAGCAUGCAAACUAAAUCCAAUCGCCAUGAAUUUAUGAAUUUGAUGCGUGUUUAUCAGCAAAACAUGCCGCUGGGCCCAGUCCGAGUAACAACACGAGCUAGCAUAACAGUGCCAACAACAAUGGGAAUAAUCGCAGCUACAACAACAAAUGUGCGUGAUAGAACGCGCAGGCAAGUCGAGUCCAAGCUCAGCCAAGGCACAAAGAAGGAGGAAGAAAGCGUGAGUAAGAGCGUGAGUGGGAGCGUGAGUUAGAGUGAGCGCGAUAGUGGUAGCUUCAGCAAGAGCCCCUAGCGCGUGUGAGAGCGUAAAUUAGAGAGCGAGCGUUAGCCUGAGAUACGAGCAAGCACAAACGCAAGCGUGUGUUUUUCUGAUGUGAAGCUCAGAAGCGAACAAGAGCAAACGAGGCGUGAAAAUCACAAACAAAUCGUGAAAAGCGCAACAAGAAGAAACGAGACAACGUGCAAAGUUGUGUGGAACACAAACACACACACACAUAUGCAUAGACAUAUACAAAUGUAUAUGCAAAUCAAGCGAAACAAAAGCGUACGCUGAAGAACGGAUUACGAGAGAGGCGGGAGACAAAUGAUUCAUGGUCGUGUUUAUCAACAAACACGUUUCAUGAGUUGCCUCAGCUGCGCCCAGCUGCCAAAAGGAAGCCAAAUGCUGGCCAUGCAACGGCACACACACUCACGCGCACACACAGAAGCCGAAACCAACUCUGCAAUUUCACGAUGCACGCACACACACUCGUACACCCCAAUACAUAUAGAACACAUACAUAUGUCAUAUGUACGAGUGGGCCUCGACGUUGGGCAAGUGCAGUGGAACUUGACACAUGUUUCAAAUGUCAUUUCGUUUUGUCAUACAUAAAUAUCACGCAUUUUCCUAUAUAUGUACAUAUGUAUGUACCCUGACAAACACAGAUGCAUAAGUGUAUACAUACAAACACAUGAGUGUUCAUCCAGAAAUAUAUAGCAGUCGCUAAUCAAAUGCAGCUGACGUUGUUUGAACUGUAGCCGAGCCCACUGCAGCCUCAAUUCGUGCGUUGUCGUCAUUUGCUGAGCGAGUUUUUAGAGUGGACCUUAUUACAGGGACUAAAAAUUGUUUACAAUUUUAUUAAUUUACAACUUUGUUAAUUUGUAAGUUGCAACACAUUUUGGACACAUAAUUUUCACUGAUUCACUUUGAAAUUUUAAGUGUUAACAUGAAAUUAUAUUUAAUCGCCGUUCGCUGUAUCUAAAAUAUGAGUUUGUUAUUUGUGAAAAAAAAAA